AUUUUUCUAACUGUAUAUAUGUGCUGUGUGUACCCUUAGCCAUUAAAAAACUAGUUGUUAAUUUCAUUCGCUGCAGUCUCUCUUAAGUUAGCUCCCAGCUCUCACUUCCGUUUACUUGAAUGUUUAGGGUGGUGGAUGAACGAGACGAAUGCAUUGCGCUCCUAAGAAGAUUGUGAACUGCCGAGGCUACCCAACUAGCUGCGAGUAGACAAGCGAGGCAUGGCUUGGUUACUGACUGCGGUUACUGCGCGAGCGCCGACGCGGCGGGGUGGGGCUUGCUCGGCCCGUUCGGGCUACUCGUGCUGGUCAACGAUGGCCUGUCGGAGCAGACCGCUGUCUACUUCUACCUGGUCAAGGGUGCGGACGGGAAGCUCAGCACUCACUUCUGCCAAGACGCCUUCAGGUCGUUGAAGGCGAACAUUCUCGUCAAGGCCGUUUACGGCAGCUUCGUCCCUGUACUUGAUGGAGAAAAUCUAUAAG
Non-coding RNA from Triticum urartu, 480 nucleotides. NCBI's taxonomy places the organism in Eukaryota, Viridiplantae, Streptophyta, Magnoliopsida, Poales, Poaceae. The record is from RefSeq and is a predicted model, not a curated record.